CAUCCACUGCCAGAAACACAUCUGAAAUGGAGGACCAGCAUGGGCAUACAUGGUUGCUGUGCGAACCACUCCACCUCUCCCAUACCUCCACAUGGCCUGCACAUGCCAGCCGCCACCUGUCGCAACGUAAGCAUCUGAUCAAGAUCGUAGGUCUGUGAUCAGUGAUGGAGGGGACACUGUGGACCAACCAAUCAUAGAAGUUAUCAUGCCUUGAAUAAAGGAAAGAAUGGUAUCGAACCACCUCAUAGACCAAAUAAUACAGCGUCGACAUCAUCUUCUACAGUGAUCACAAUGAUGAUGCCUCCUAACCUUUAUAAGUAGUGAUAAGGCUCUUUGACACAAGUUUGUAGAGUGUGCUCUUUUCUGAGCAA
This 371-nucleotide long non-coding RNA is filed under the name Phoenix dactylifera (date palm). RNAcentral's name for it is "long non-coding RNA (PDAC_LNC009257)". The record is from RNAcentral. Lineage: Eukaryota; Viridiplantae; Streptophyta; Magnoliopsida; Arecales; Arecaceae.